Long non-coding RNA from Tympanuchus pallidicinctus (lesser prairie-chicken), 728 nucleotides. RefSeq lists it as uncharacterized. Lineage: Eukaryota; Metazoa; Chordata; Aves; Galliformes; Phasianidae. The transcript is spliced from 2 exons. The record is from RefSeq and is a predicted model, not a curated record.
CCCAUUUCAGGGCUGAGUGGUGGUGAGGAAGAAUCUUUUUCUGGAGAUCCCUCCUCUGUGGAGUCUUUCCUGUGAACGUGGAUCUUUAGAAACAGUGCCUGAUGGAUCCAGUCAGCAAUGUUAACUGAAUGCCACCUAAAUAAUCUCAGCACAGCAAGUUUAUAAAAAUGACAGUGCCAGAAAUUCUCUUCAAUAUGAGUGACAGAGACAAUGUUCUUGCAGCACAGAAGAAGUGGACAUGUUUCACUGCUCAGGCAAGAUUGUAUUUAUUCCCUAAUGUCUGCCAAAUCAUUCAAAACAAAAGAAGGCAGCUGGCAGGACUUCAAAAGGAAUUCUGUGGAUGAAGUAAGUCAAGCUGCACUGCUUUACCUGGCUAAGCUCUUGGAGACCAACAAAGAUGAAACACGAAGCUUCUGGGUCAGCCAGGAACCUCUUUGCAAUACUACAGAUAGAAAUUAACCUGCUCACUGCGAUGUAACAAGCUAUUCAAAGAUGAAGUUGAAACUAUAUUGUUCUUUAAUUUUGGAUGCACAUUCUCUGAGAGAUAAAUAAAAAGUGUGCUUUAGGUCUGAGAAGGAAUAUCUUUAGACAGAGCAAAAGAGCAUGUACUCUUUAUGGACUCUUGCUUGUUAUAAAAAUCUGGUAAUUGGUCUCUUGUAUGUUUAUUCAGACUGCGGUUAUUCCUAAGUUUUGAAAUGUCUAGCUUAAAAUAAAAAAAAAAAAGCAAA